UACAGAGGUCCCAAGCGUUGUUCGGAUUCACUGGGCGUAAAGGGUGCGUAGGCGGUCGGGUAAGUCUGACGUGAAAUCUUCAAGCUUAACUUGGAAACUGCGUCGGAUACUAUUCGGCUAGAGGAAUGGAGGGGAGACUGGAAUACUUGGUGUAGCAGUGAAAUGCGUAGAUAUCAAGUGGAACACCAGUGGCGAAGGCGAGUCUCUGGACAUUUCCUGACGCUGAGGCAUGAAAGCCAGGGGAGCAAACGGG
Molecule: ribosomal RNA, 253 nt
Filed under: uncultured bacterium
Lineage: Bacteria
Description: partial 16S ribosomal RNA
Rfam family: Bacterial small subunit ribosomal RNA
Source: RNAcentral